This 462-nucleotide ribosomal RNA is filed under the name uncultured bacterium. RNAcentral's name for it is "bacterial SSU rRNA". It matches the Rfam family "Bacterial small subunit ribosomal RNA", at positions 28 to 490 of the family's 1533-position model. The record is from RNAcentral.
GACGAACGCUGGCGGCGUGCUUAACACAUGCAAGUCGAACGAGAAUCUAUGGAAAGAGGAUUCGUCCAAUUGAAAUAGAGGACAGUGGCGGACGGGUGAGUAACGCGUGAGGAACCUGCCUUUCAGAGGGGGACAACAGUUGGAAACGACUGCUAAUACCGCAUAACGCAUAGAGGUCGCAUGGUCUGAUGUCAAAGAUUUAUCGCUGAAAGAUGGCCUCGCGUCUGAUUAGCUAGUUGGUGAGGUAACGGCCCACCAAGGCGACGAUCAGUAGCCGGACUGAGAGGUUGAACGGCCACAUUGGGACUGAGAUACGGCCCAGACUCCUACGGGAGGCAGCAGUGGGGAAUAUUGGGCAAUGGGCGCAAGCCUGACCCAGCAACGCCGCGUGAAGGAAGAAGGCUUUCGGGUUGUAAACUUCUUUUGUCAGGGACGAGUAGAAGACGGUACCUGACGAAUAAG